AUCCGGCUGAUGAAUCCCAAAUAGGACGAAACUUAAGUCUUGGAU
This 45-nucleotide non-coding RNA is filed under the name Schistosoma margrebowiei. The record is from RNAcentral. Lineage: Eukaryota; Metazoa; Platyhelminthes; Trematoda; Strigeidida; Schistosomatidae.